This 494-nucleotide ribosomal RNA is filed under the name Parapanteles sp. D KSP-2020. RNAcentral's name for it is "partial 28S ribosomal RNA". Lineage: Eukaryota; Metazoa; Arthropoda; Insecta; Hymenoptera; Braconidae. The record is from RNAcentral.
GAUCGAAUGAGGAGAUUCAUCGUCAGCGUAUUCAGUAUUGAUGCAGGCUAUGAUGUGAUAAUAGAAUCCUCGUGGUCACUAGAUUAUACUUGCUUGUAUCAUUUAUGCUGGGUAUGUCGGCGUGCACUUCUCCUCUAGUAGAACGUCGCAACCCGUUGGAUGUUUAUCUAUGGCUUGAAUGGUAGCCUUUGAUAUAUUUUAUAUUGAAGACCUUUGUUGUUCCUGAUAAACUGUCCRACGGUAUACAUAAAGUCUGCUGUUAGCUUGGUAAUGUCUUUAACUGGCUUAUUUACCGGUUAGCGAUGCUACUGCUUUGGGUACUUACAGGACCCGUCUUGAAACACGGACCAAGGAGUCUAACAUGUGCGCGAGUCAUUGGGAUAUAUUUAUAUAACUCAAACCUAAAGGCGUAAUGAAAGUAUAGAUUGUCUUAAGACAAUUGAGGGAAGAUGGGUUGCGUUACGAUGUAAUCCCGCAUUCCCGGGACGUUCCAU